UACCUCCUAGGGAGGCAGCAGUGAGGAAUAUUGGUCAAUGGGCGCGAGCCUGAACCAGCCAAGUCGCGUGAGGGAUGACGGCCCUACGGGUUGUAAACCUCUUUUGCCGGGGAGCAACGGGCGCCACGUGUGGCGCCACUGAGAGUACCCGGAGAAAAAGCAUCGGCUAACUCCGUGCCAGCAGCCGCGGUAAUACGGAGGAUGCGAGCGUUAUCCGGAUUUAUUGGGUUUAAAGGGUGCGUAGGCGGAUCGUUAAGUCAGUGGUCAAAUUGAGGGGCUCAACCCCUUCCCGCCAUUGAAACUGG
RNAcentral lists this ribosomal RNA (305 nucleotides) under uncultured bacterium. RNAcentral describes it as "bacterial SSU rRNA". It matches the Rfam family "Bacterial small subunit ribosomal RNA", at positions 333 to 636 of the family's 1533-position model. The record is from RNAcentral.